GUUAGUCUGCUCAAAACCUCCUGAAACAAGCCUUCGUUUAUCCGAGCAAUUUGGUAAUAUUGAUUCGCAUCAGCUUUGCCUGGAAAAUAUUCCCUCUACAGACUUCAGAAGCCCCGGGAAAGAAGAAUUGUAUCAAAUGGAUGCUAAUGGAUUCACCCAAAUUGAGGUUACAUUUCAACCGAAAGGUCCACGCUUGGAGGUACCAGUUGGAGCUAGGCCAGAAAGCUUUGGAGGAGAAUAUAAUUGUUUAUUUGGGGACAAACAAACACACUGCUGUACUCCUUAUACACGAGCUGGGCCACUUGAUAAGGAAGCCCCAGAAGAGCAUAUUCGUCAUCCUCUCCCCUGCAAUGGCUCCGGAUCAGCAGGUGUGUAUAGGUUAAGGUUAUGCCUUUGGUUGAGGUGCUUGUGAUGAUGCCUGAGACACAACUACUGGCUUUGGUUCUUCCUCGGAUACAGAUGAUGGGGUUUGAGUAGAAGUGGGAGUAGGCUGAGAGGUUUCUUGAACUGUAGGUUGUGAAUUCGUUGGACCUGUUGGUUGGACCUGAGUGGCUAUGAGAGAUGGAGAAUGAGUAGAAGUGAGAGUAGGCUGAGAGCUUUCUUGAAUUUUAGGUUAUGAAUUUGUAGUACGAGUUGGUUGUACCUUGUACCUGAGUGGUUGUGAGAUAUGGAAAUUGAGUAGAAGUGGGAGUAGGCUGAGAGCUUUCUUGAAUUUUAGGUUGUGAAUUUGUUGUACCUGAGUGGUUUUGAGAGAUGGAGAAGAAGGUUGUGAUGUUGUUCAGUCAGCAGGUUGAGAGGACAAACAAGGUGGAGCCUCAGGCUGGGGGGUCUGUCUGCAAUGCAAAGCUUUGCUAUAUUAAUGAAUGUGAGUUUUGUUUUCUAGCUUUCACCUAUUUCAUGGUAUUAUAGCAGUAAACCUAUGCAAAGCUUUGCUAUAUUAAUGACUUUUUGCUUCUGAUUGUGGUUUUUUUGUUCCGUCACCUCUUUGAGCUAUUUCUUUAAUAGUUGAAGAAUAUGUGUUUAGGUAUAAAGUUUGUCUUGUUUGAGGUUGAGAUGUAGUUGUUGGAAAUUUAGUGUUUGUAUUGUGUACAUAAUUAUGCAUUUUCAAGUUAAAACUAUUAAAUCCAAGGUUAUGUAAUCACAAUGGCUAUUAAAUGUUGGAAAUUAAAUGGGGAUUGAAUUCUAAAUAGAGAAACCUAUAAUUCAUAUCUUGAUAGCAAUGGGAAAUUUUUUUUUUUUUUAUCUUUACAGUCAUCUAUGAAGGUAUAUGCUUACAAUGUACAAAAGACUAUUAACUUAUUGUUCCAUUAAAUAUUCUUCUAUUGCCUUUUAAGAAUUAUAAUAAUUCUUGUGUUAUUGUUGUUACUGGUUGGAAAAUAUAUGUGGCAAGAUAUGGCAUAUAGAAUGGCUUGAUUAGUUGUUCAUUUGCAAUUUGUUCAGAAGUGUCAUGAGUCUCUCAUCUCUCUCUCUCUGUGCCUCUAAUAAAUACGAAUGAAAUAAUGGGAAUUGUGAAGUGCCCAACUGGGUACUCUUUAAAUUCGUUCCUUUCAGUUUUUUUGGCUUUUUUAAUUUAAAAUUGAAUAAAUAAAUAAUGGAAUGAAAAAUUUUGAAAGAAGUCUCGAGGAAGAAAGUAAGGCCUGGUAGAUCUGUGGACAAAACCCUCAUAUCUUCUUUUCUAAUAGUUCACAGAUUCCAUAUUUAUUUAUAUGUGACUUAAUAACAUCUGCAAGAUAGUUUACAAAUCAUGUAAAAAAAUAAUAUCCACUCUAAUCAAAUGUGGACAAAUAUGUUUUCUUUAUGGAAAUCCAGAAUUUAUAUGUCAAGUGCUAUUUAGUGUUUAUCAUUUGAUUUUCUUUUUCUGAGCUUUGGAUAGGAUUUGAUAUGGGUUUUGUAACUUUCUUUCUAUUAACCUCUUAUAAUUCUAUAGUAGAUUUUUCUGAACUUCCUUUUGAAAGUUGCUUGCCCUGUUUCCCUCUCUCUCUUGAUAAAAUAUAAUAUGAAUUUUUAGAGAAGAGCUGCAACUACUCCCUUUCUUUGACUAUUAAGCUGUCCCUUCAAAUGAUGAACAUACCGAUACUUUAGGCUCUGUACAGUUUUUGCUGGUUCUCCACCCAUAUGCAUAGCACCUGUAAUCUAGAAAAGAGUAGCCUUUUUUUAUUUUUGGCCCUUUGCUCUGCAUAAUUGUGUCUCCACUUUUUAGUAUUACUUUGAAUAUGUGAUCUGUGAUAAUGGUGGAGACUUGCUCUGUUGCCUAUACAUGCCAUUGUAUUUUAGAUUCCUGUAGUUGAACUAGGAUAAGCAUGAAAAUAAAUUUUUUUCUUUGAUAAGCAUGUAUUGGAAAGACCAUAUUAAUUAAUAAACAGGCCAUAUUGCCCUCUCUCUCUAUCUCUCAUGUAUACUUUUUGAAUGAAAGUGUUGUGUUUCUUCCCUAUACAUGGCAACAAAGUAACUUUGCUAUGUAUUUUCCAGUUUGUAAUUGACAACCAACUGCUCUCUUGUUUUCUAUCAAAUUCUUACACAAAAUCAAAAAAAAAAAAAAAAAAAAAAAAAAAAAUCAAGAAAAAAGCUUGUUGGACAAUCUCAAAUAUCACUGCUGGGAAUAAAGGUCAAAUACAGGUAUGUGAUUCACUUUCUAUAUGAAUUAACAUCAAGAUUCUUCCACAUGUUAAUUCUGAAUUUCCACAAAGAUAGUGGAAGAGCCUCACACAACAUAAUAUUUUGUAUGUAAACCCACCUUUGGUUUGCAUUUUUUUAGAUUAAUACAGGUUUGCAUUUGAACCUUCUUGUUCCUUUGGAUUGAUUUCCCUAAGACAUUUGUUGUUGGGAAAUUAAUCCUUCUUUUUUUUAAGGCCUUUGAAUGUAUAUAAAUAUAAUACGAUGUAAUGUAACUUAUAGUUUCAAUUGUGUGUGGUACGAAUGAAUGAAAUAAGCUUUAAAUGCAUUAGUUUUGACUAAUUAUAUUAGUAUAUUGCAAAUUGAAUUGAAUAUUUUAAAUAAUAUGGGGAUAUUUAUUUAAUCUUUGAAGUAAAUUAUGAGAAAUAUCAUCUAAUCUUUAAUCAAGAUAUACUUUUAACAUCUUUAAACACUGUUUUUGUUAAGAUUGUUAACAUUUUCAUAGUUAUUUUAUUUAAUUUCAUAUUAAUUAAUUAUUAAAUUAAUUAUGACAUCAUUACGGUCCACCCUUAGUCGGAACUCGAUCAAACCUUAAAAACCUUGAACCUCUUCCUUUUACGGUUCGUUGAACAAUCCAGGUUUCAAAACCAUGGCUAUGGAUAGGCUAUAAAUACUAACAGUUGUGUUCUUGAAUGUGCUUCUCAUUGAAUGGACAACUAGUUUCAAUAUAACUUGCAUUUGGUUCUUCACAAGGCUGCUAACAUGCUAGAUGAAUUUAAUGUUUUAAAGUCUAAUGUGCCAAUUAUAUUGUAAAUUUUUUUUUUUAAUAAAAGUGAAUUACAGGUCUCCAUUAUUCCUUCUCAAGUAAUUCAUAAAUUAAAUAGCAUAAAACUGUCACUCUUGCUUACUUUUAAUAUUUCAAUUAAGAACUCUUAUUUUACAUGUAUCGCAGGCCACAUAUUAUAGAUAACUAGAAUUCUGUACUUUGCCAUGAAACAAAGAGUGGUGUGACCAAUUUCAAUAGUUGGGAAUUGGUGCUACUUCCUGACCUUGUUCUACAUCGGCAAUUACUAUGUUUUGCAUGGUUGUUUAACAAUGCUAUUUGCACAUCAUGGAAAUCUAUUUUUUACUGUAAUUGUGUAUGCUGUAUGUAGAUGUUAUACAUUAGCAUUUAUCACAUCCUUUUUGGGUUUUGCGCAUAUGUUGUUGGCUUCUUAGAAAACUAAUAUCAUGAUACACUUUGCUUCAGGAUGAAAGAAAAACUUAUCAAACAGCUUUAGUUUUGUGACAUUUGCUGAUGAAAUUUCAGCCAAGUAGGCAGAAAGUACAUAGGAUACUUGGGUAGAAGGAGUGUCAGAAUGAAAUAUGAUUAAAUGUUGUACUACUAAUACUUCUGGUAAUCUUAGAAAUGCCUAUUAUUGGCAAUGGCCAUGCGCUUGGGCCAAAUAGGCACCCAUGUGGGUUUGCCCGUAUCAAAUGAAUGAGCCUCAGAAGUUCCUUAUGCAGAGUGGUUUGGGCUACUGUCUAUCAAUAUGGUCUCUGUGUAACUCAAGAGUUCAUGAAGAAGAAAUCAAAACAGAGGAAAGUAUAGCGAAGAGUGUGAGAAAAGAUGUCAAGUUUAGAAUGAUGUUUAAAUGAAGUGGCUGCAACUCUAUCCUAAACAAGUUCUCCAUUCUAAUAGGGGUAUACUUCAGUCCAUCCUUCAUGACUUCUGCCUAAAAGUUUGCUAGUUUCUAGGUUUGUGAUUGGUUUGUUUGCAAAAGCAAGAUAUUGGGUCUGAUUAGCAGCAAAUUCAGUAUGAUGUUGUAGUUCAGUUUGAAGACUCGUGUCUUUGUGUUAGAUUGUGUAGAACUGGGUUGGAAUAAUGUCAACACUGUUUUUAUCUUGAGUAGGGAGUUUAUGUCAGGGUAGAUGCCCUUGUGGUGGAAUAGUUUAAGUCUUAGUGUUUCAA
Quercus robur (English oak) is the source of this 4564-nucleotide RNA transcript. RefSeq lists it as uncharacterized. The record is from RefSeq and is a predicted model, not a curated record. The transcript has 3 exons. NCBI's taxonomy places the organism in Eukaryota, Viridiplantae, Streptophyta, Magnoliopsida, Fagales, Fagaceae.